CGGACGGGUGGAGUAACGCGUGGAAAACCUGCCGUAUACUGGGGGAGUAACACUUAGAAAUAGGUGCUAAUACCGCAUAAGCGCACAGCUUCGCAUGAAGCGGUGUGAAAAACUCUGGUGGUAUACGAUGGUUCCGCGUCUGAUUAGCUAGUUGGUGGGGUAAUGGCCUACCAAGGCAACGAUCAGUAGCCGGCCUGAGAGGGUGAACGGCCACAUUGGGACUGAGACACGGCCCAAACUCCUACGGAAGGCAGCAG
Molecule: ribosomal RNA, 257 nt
Filed under: uncultured bacterium
Lineage: Bacteria
Description: partial 16S ribosomal RNA
Rfam family: Bacterial small subunit ribosomal RNA
Source: RNAcentral